This 253-nucleotide ribosomal RNA is filed under the name uncultured bacterium. RNAcentral describes it as "partial 16S ribosomal RNA". It matches the Rfam family "Bacterial small subunit ribosomal RNA", at positions 524 to 776 of the family's 1533-position model. The record is from RNAcentral.
UACGUAGGGUGCAAGCGUUGUCCGGAAUUAUUGGGCGUAAAGAGCUCGUAGGCGGCUAGUCAAGUCGAACGUGAAAUCUCGGAGCUCAACUCCGAAACUGCGUUCGAUACUGGGUAGCUAGAGUCUGGUAGGGGGAUCUGGAAUUCCUGGUGUAGCGGUGGAAUGCGCAGAUAUCAGGAGGAACACCGGUGGCGAAGGCGGGAUCCUGGGCCAGUACUGACGCUGAGGAGCGAAAGCGUGGGGAGCAAACAGG